UACACGUGAGGGGGCGUGUGAGUAUAUAUCCGUUAAUGUGUAUUCAACUAUCAGCUUUUAAGGUUUUAGUUGAGAUGGAGCACAUGCUUCAAUUUUUACAAGUUUAUAU
Ipomoea nil (Japanese morning glory) is the source of this 109-nucleotide long non-coding RNA. RefSeq lists it as uncharacterized. The record is from RefSeq and is a predicted model, not a curated record. The transcript has 3 exons. NCBI's taxonomy places the organism in Eukaryota, Viridiplantae, Streptophyta, Magnoliopsida, Solanales, Convolvulaceae.